UGAUAACAGCGUGUGGUUUCUUUACAGGUGAAGCUUCACUAUACUCGUGAUCAAUACCUAUCACCUAUUAGCGUAAAGCAUUAAGUGAGCUGUGAGGGAUUGUUGUAACGCUUUUGUGUUGGCCUACAUGGCCUACGUCGUUAAAAUGUUAUUCUCUCCAAAGCCUCGGUAAAGUAAGGUGACCUCGGAGCCUCGUGUCGCGUGUUGGUGACUAACCUCACCUUACAGGACCGAUAACAUUAGACAAUAAACAGACCUAUUAAAACAAUCAAAAUGGAUACGGAUUUAGAAUUAUAACAGAGGUAUAACCGUGGUAGUGUGAAAAUCGUCCCUAGUGGGUUACGUCAUUAAAUAAACCUGGAUAGGUUACAUACAAAUAAAGCAAUUCGCAUAAUGUCUCAGCUUAGCUUUAGGUCACUCAAUUAUUUCACUCAUAUUUUCCUGUGUGUGACAGUCCCAACCCCCAUACACAAUCAGGAUAGCCCCGCUGCAUAUGAUCAGUUUAUGUUAUGAAUCAAAAUAUUUUUUUAGUACAAUAAACCGAGCUGGUUGUUUUGGUUUGUGUGUGUGUGUGUGUGUGUGUGUGUGUGUGUGUGUGUGUGUGUGUGUGUGUGUGUGUGUGUGUGUGUGUGUGUGUGUGUGUUUUCGUGCGUAAAAGAGGGUGGAAGUAAAGUGUCAUUGGGAUAUUAAGUCGACACCUCAUUCCAGAUGUCCCAGUUCAACUCAUGCAUGCUAUGUGUAGCAGCCAUCUCUGAUUGGCUCACUUACAAAACAGCAGUGCACACACACCACACACACGUUCUCGUGCAUGAAAACACGCGCACACACGCGCACACACACAAACAAUCUCACUCACACACACAAAAUCUCACACACAAAGGCACACACUCGCGCACACACACACACACACACACAAAAUCACGCAUAAUGCAGAUGACUAUUUUGCAUGCUACAGUUGUAUUAAAGUGCUUCUUCAGUCAUCACUGAACCCCCAGUGCCACAUAGUGUACCCAAGCGAUGGGAGUGACUCACCUCGUUGACUUAGUUCAGUGUUGAUGCUGGUCCCGAUCACGCAUUGCCACCAGCUCUCUGAGGUACAUUAGGAACUUCAAUCUGACGAGAUAAAGACAUUUUUCAUGAUUACAAAAGUUGUGUUACUGAUCAUGCCUGAGUUCUGAUAUUCAUAUAUUUCAGCUUUAUAUCCUAGUCACGGUUUGAUUGAAUCAAGCAUGGCAACGUAUUGAUUUCACAUUGCAUAUCACAUUAUUAUAAUGUGACGUGAAAUAAUACCAUGACAUUGACUUGGAUUUGUCUUAUCACAAUACAGUCAGGCAAUACCGUAUUGUGAUAUGACAAGGCUGAAUGACGAAUGAAUGAUUGUUUGUUUCAUCAUCAGGUUCAUGUUAGGAGUGUGUCUGUUGAGUGUAAGUGUUAUGACAGUUUUCUAAUAUGAAUAUUAUACCGAAAACAAAUAUCAUCUCAUCCAGUCACAGAAUAUCAACAUGGACAUCAAUAUUGUGUCAGAAACGCAGUCUGCUGUUCUCAGUGAUACAUCUUGGGCCAUGCAAUGUAGUCCAACGAGACGUUUCCUCACAAGCCUUCUUGGGGGUUCUCAGUAGCCUUGUGAGACCGUCCAAAUAUUCACGAUUUGCUUUUUCGCAACUCAGUCCUGCCUCAGCUGGGCACUAAUUGAUUUCAAAAGAUGGCUGCAGCCUGACAUUGUUCAAAACACUCGCUCUUGCGUAAUCUGGUUUGAAGUAAAACAAAAUCAUAUUCUCCUCAUAGGCACAGCCUUCUGUGCAGGAUUUGGUCUAUCUAUUGGUCUAUCUAUUAUCAUCGAAAUUCUGUGCAUUUCGAUCAAAGUUUGUUUAAAAUGCUUUCAACAGCAUUCAGGACAGACUGUUCUGCAGAGGGAAACAGAGUGUGAACUCACCAGAUCAGGAUGGUGUAUAGCGAGGAUCCAUAUCCUCUGGUUCUCUGUGGAGGGAGGCAUCAGCUACUUUAACCAGUUUUCUUUAUUUUUCUAAUCAUUCUUUAAAAAAAAUACCCCUACAAACACACACACACACACACACACACACACACACACACACACACACACACACACACACACACACACACACACACAGACACACACUGCAACUGUCUCUUUUUGUACUUUGCUUGUGAGUUUACUUUCCCCCAAACCUCAGAAUAUAAUUAGCACACUUUCCCAUUCAGCCGGCCGUAUCUGUUACAUGCACAGGGCUUAGCGAUGGACCCUUCCAGUGAGGCACAAAGUGCUACCCUUGUUCCUCCGUACCAUUUACUUCAUUAGGAACUCAUCCCAAAUAGUUGUGUCAUUGUCAAGGUCAGUUAGAAACACAUUAAGCACUGCUAGUGCUAGCAAAUGACCUGCCGUUGGUUGCACAAACUGCAAAUGUGUUAUCUGCUUGUUAUCGUGAUAUCCAGUGGGAAAUGUAAUGACAUUUAUUCAUUCUGUGAUAUCUAUUUUCAAAGUAAAAAUGUGUUAUGAAGACAAAAUAAGCCCUGAACUGUUUCAAAAUAUCACGUCUGAAAUAUUAGACAAUAAUAAUUAUGUUUGUGCUAAUGAAUAUCUUUCAUAGCACAUGGUUAAAAACGGUAUGCAACUUUAUAAAGUGUAAUCGCGAAACAUUACCUACUAACCUAAACUUUAAAAAGGGUAUUAUAUACAUACUAAGAAAUAAAUGAUUUAGGAUCUGUCUAUUUGCUGGUUUGAUCCAAGAUAUUCUCAGACAUUUUGUAUCUGGUUCCCCAUUUGUCUCUGAAACGCUGCUCCAGACGAUACCCGGCACCCGGCCUAAUAUGCGUGAGUGGCUGAGUCAGUGGUUUGUUCCACCAAGGGAUUGCACACCUGAACGCCACCUGAUGUUGAUCUACUCUCGCUGUGACUGGAGGGACAAGGCCUUCUGGCUGACUGUGCAGGCGGUAGCCGAGACUGUUUCAAGAGGCAUUAUAAAGACUGUUUCAAAAGUCCCCACGCAGACUGUUUCAAAAGGCAUUAUAAAGACUGUUUCAAAAGUCCCCACGCAGACUGUUUCAAAAGGCAUUAUAAAGACUGUUUCAAAAAGGUCCAUACACACUGUUUCAAAAGGCAUUACAAAGACUGUUUCAGAGGUCCACACAAACUGUUUCGAAAGGCAUUACAAAGACUGUUGCAGAGGUCCGCACAGACUGUUUCAAAAGCCAUUACAAAGACUGUUUAAAAAGUCCCCACGCAGACUGUUUCAAAAGGCUUUGCAGACUGUUUCAGAGGUCAACACACUCAUUCAAAAGGCAAUACAACGACUGUUUCAAAAGUCCCCACAAAGACUGUGUCAAAAUACAUUACAAAGACUGUUUCAAAAUACAUUAAAGACUGUUUUAAAGGUCCCCACAAAGACAGCUU
This is a long non-coding RNA of Gadus macrocephalus (Pacific cod), 3409 nucleotides long. RefSeq lists it as uncharacterized. The record is from RefSeq and is a predicted model, not a curated record. The transcript has 2 exons. Lineage: Eukaryota; Metazoa; Chordata; Actinopteri; Gadiformes; Gadidae.